This 422-nucleotide ribosomal RNA is filed under the name uncultured archaeon. RNAcentral describes it as "partial 16S ribosomal RNA". It matches the Rfam family "Archaeal small subunit ribosomal RNA", at positions 323 to 746 of the family's 1478-position model. The record is from RNAcentral.
CUACGGGUCGCUGCAGACGCGAAACCUUUACAAUACACGCAAGUGUGAUAAGGGGAUUCUACGUGCUCAUGUUUUGCAUGGGCUUUUGUUAAGAUUAGAACUCUUAGCGAAUAAGGGGUGGGUAAGACCGGUGCCAGCCGCCGCGGUAACACCGGCGCCCCAAGUGGCAAUCACGAUUAUUGGGCCUAAAGCGUUCGUAGCCGGUCUAAUAAGUCCUUUGUGAAAUCGUCGUGCUUAACGCGACGGCAUGCAAAGGAUACUGUUAGACUCGGGACCGGGAGGGGUUAGAGGUAUGCCUUGGGGACUGGUAAAAUGGUAUAAUCCAAGGUAGACCGCCGAUGGCGAAGGCAUCUAACCAGAACGGAUCCGACGGUGAGGAACGAAAGCUAGGGGAGCAAACCGGAUUAGAUACCCGUGUAGUC